GUGGCUUAUUUGCUGAGGUAUUAUCGGGGGGAAAUAAAGCUGAGUAUUUCGAGAGGUUAUGUUGAGGGUGCCUCUUCGAAUGCGAGAAAGGGUUGAGCAUUUUUGCAGGUUUGCCUGUCCGUUGAGGAGGGAGGUCAAUGUAUAUAGGGAUUUCCCAAUAACAAGUAGUAAUGCUAUUCUUUUACCCUUCUUGGUCACAGCAAUGUAGUGGGAGCUGCCAGCUUCACGUGUUUUAAUU
This 238-nucleotide long non-coding RNA is filed under the name Malus domestica (apple). RNAcentral's name for it is "long non-coding RNA (MDOM_LNC020400)". The record is from RNAcentral. Lineage: Eukaryota; Viridiplantae; Streptophyta; Magnoliopsida; Rosales; Rosaceae.